AAAGGCCCAAGUUCCUUGGACCCAACAGCUAAAAAAGCUUUCUUUAGAGGGGAAAUGGUCGGGCUGCGUUGGCCGAUGAUGGGCCUCGAUGGAUCUCCUCUCUCCAAGUCCUCGCGAAGUUACUAUUCCUUCUCCUCUUUCUUACCGACCCUCCUUUCGUUUUCCCGUCUUCCAGCCGCUGCCGCGGAAAGCUUGAGCGGCAGCUUUCGAUACGGCGGUGAAGUUUCUUGACUGGUACGUGAAGAUCGCGGUCUUCUCGGCCCUCGUCGGAGGCUCCAUGGAGUUGUUCAUGAUCAAGACUGGCUUCUGUGCACUAUUAAGCAGUUGGAGUCAAUUUUUAUCUGAUGAACCUUGCUUUAGAGCUCGCGAGCGAUGCUAGUGCGGCAGCUAUUGCGUUAGUCGAAUGGGAGUGGAUUUUACGGUGAUGGGUCGUGUUCAAAUUCGUCUCUUCGGAUGAGAAAAGCAUCGUUUAGUCAGUUCCUUUGUGACUGAAGUUGGGGUAGGACGGAAAUUCAUGAUUUCAGUGGUAUGUUGCAGUCGCUUGGUAUGUUGCAGUAGCUAGCUUGUGAAAGAGGAGGGCUUUGAUUUGGACCGUCGUGUUAUGCCGAUGAACUGAACAUUCUCGCUGUUCUACACGAAAAGCAUGAUGCGAAAAAAUGUUGUCUCAGGUGAUGAAUGGCGAUACCUAUGAAUGCGAAGUGUUCCACUGUCUGUGGAGAAUGGAUGGCUUGUGCAGCUAAUCAUCUGUUCAUUGAUACCAUCUGUGGGAGAAACUUCUGAAAAGUCGUUUAGGAGACUGGUUUUAAAAUUGAACUUACGACUGUGAUGCACAUCUCAGGAAAACAUUGAGCGGAUUGUUCUGCAGCUAUUUCAUAUCUUUCAGGGUAUAAUCAAAGAGUUAAAAUUUCUGAAGGAACACAAUUAGAUGAAGUGAUUUGUAGUCCCGUUGAAAUUGCAGUUACUUUGUGAUCUUAUUGAAGACUGAUGAGCUUUCAUCACUUGCAUCUUUCUGAAUGGAUUUUGGUAUAUACUAAAGAUUGUGAGAAUGUUGUUUGGUUGCCCUGCCUUCAUAACUACCUAUACUCUCGUGAGCAUCUUCAUGACGAAGAUUUUCCUGUAUGCAGAUUCUGGAAUUUAUAUGUUCUCUUGGCAUUGUUCUUGAUGUAGUUUCCCCUCCAAAUGUACUUCAAAUUCUUUUUGGCUUA
Eucalyptus grandis is the source of this 1205-nucleotide long non-coding RNA. RefSeq lists it as uncharacterized. The record is from RefSeq and is a predicted model, not a curated record. Lineage: Eukaryota; Viridiplantae; Streptophyta; Magnoliopsida; Myrtales; Myrtaceae. The transcript is spliced from 2 exons.